Molecule: ribosomal RNA, 507 nt
Filed under: uncultured bacterium
Lineage: Bacteria
Description: partial 16S ribosomal RNA
Rfam family: Bacterial small subunit ribosomal RNA
Source: RNAcentral
GACGAACGCUGGCGGCGUGCCUAAUACAUGCAAGUCGAACGCAUUUUCUUUCACCGUAGCUUGCUACACCGAAAGAAAAUGAGUGGCGAACGGGUGAGUAACACGUGGGUAACCUGCCCAUCAGCGGGGGAUAACACUUGGAAACAGGUGCUAAUACCGCAUAAUUCCAUUUACCGCAUGGUAGAUGGAUGAAAGGCGCUUUUGCGUCACUGAUGGAUGGAUCCGCGGUGCAUUAGCUAGUUGGUGGGGUAACGGCCUACCAAGGCUGCGAUGCAUAGCCGACCUGAGAGGGUGAUCGGCCACACUGGGACUGAGACACGGCCCAGACUCCUACGGGAGGCAGCAGUAGGGAAUCUUCGGCAAUGGACACAAGUCUGACCGAGCAACGCCGCGUGAGUGAAGAAGGUUUUCGGAUCGUAAAACUCUGUUGUUAGAGAAGAACAAGGAUGAGAGUGGAAAGUUCAUCCCUUGACGGUAUCUAACCAGAAAGCCACGGCUAACUACGUG